RNAcentral lists this unclassified non-coding RNA (306 nucleotides) under fungal sp. RNAcentral describes it as "partial internal transcribed spacer region". The stretch from base 1 to 46 matches the Rfam family "Eukaryotic small subunit ribosomal RNA", at positions 1786 to 1831 of the family's 1831-position model. The record is from RNAcentral. Lineage: Eukaryota; Fungi.
AAGUCGUAACAAGGUUUCCGUAGGUGAACCUGCGGAAGGAUCAUUACCAAAUCCAAAUACCCAACUCCCAUGUGAACUAUUGUAAUAGUCUGUCUUUGGGAGAAAAAGAAGAAAAACAGAACAUCGUGUCUGUUUUUUAGACGUUUCUCCCAAAAGAAUCCGGGCAUUUACUUUCUUUUUGAUAAGAAUUGUUUUAUGUCACUUGGAUUCUCUAAAAACCUUUAAACCACUUGAUUCAUUGUUGGAAUUCUCUUUUAUUAAUUAUCAAUAAAAGACAACUUUUAACGGCGGAUCUCUUGGCUCGUG